Molecule: ribosomal RNA, 253 nt
Filed under: uncultured bacterium
Lineage: Bacteria
Description: partial 16S ribosomal RNA
Rfam family: Bacterial small subunit ribosomal RNA
Source: RNAcentral
UACGAAGGGGGCUAGCGUUGUUCGGAAUUACUGGGCGUAAAGCGCACGUAGGCGGGUCGUUAAGUCAGGGGUGAAAUCCCAGAGCUCAACUCUGGAACUGCCUUUGAUACUGGCGACCUAGAGUUCGGAAGAGGUUAGUGGAAUUCCCAGUGUAGAGGUGAAAUUCGUAGAUAUUGGGAAGAACACCAGUGGCGAAGGCGGCUAACUGGUCCGAUACUGACGCUGAGGUGCGAAAGCGUGGGGAGCAAACGGG